CGACGUGAGCAAUCUACCUUGGAGUGGGGAAUAACGGCUGGAAACAGCCGCUAAUACCGCAUGAUGCGUCUGGGCCGCAUGGCUCUGGGCGCCAAAGAUUUAUCGCUGGAAGAUGGCCUCGCGUCUGAUUAGCUAGUUGGUGAGGUAACGGCCCACCAAGGCGACGAUCAGUAGCCGGACUGAGAGGUUGGCCGGCCACAUUGGGACUGAGAUACGGCCCAGACUCCUACGGAAGGCAGCAG
This 242-nucleotide ribosomal RNA is filed under the name uncultured bacterium. RNAcentral's name for it is "partial 16S ribosomal RNA". It matches the Rfam family "Bacterial small subunit ribosomal RNA", at positions 113 to 354 of the family's 1533-position model. The record is from RNAcentral.